UUUGCUAUGAUGAGAUAAAGCACAAGCUCUGUGUUUGAGGCAGUGGAUUCCGAUCCGUGAGCUUUCUAAAUUAACGACUUCUCCUUCCACUGAGAAAA
This is a small nucleolar RNA of Salvia splendens (bonfire salvia), 98 nucleotides long. RefSeq annotates it as small nucleolar RNA Z152/R70/R12. The transcript has a single exon. Lineage: Eukaryota; Viridiplantae; Streptophyta; Magnoliopsida; Lamiales; Lamiaceae. The record is from RefSeq and is a predicted model, not a curated record.